Molecule: ribosomal RNA, 433 nt
Filed under: uncultured bacterium
Lineage: Bacteria
Description: partial 16S ribosomal RNA
Rfam family: Bacterial small subunit ribosomal RNA
Source: RNAcentral
GAACGAACGCUGGCGGCAUGCCUAACACAUGCAAGUCGAACGAGACCUUCGGGUCUAGUGGCGCACGGGUGCGUAACGCGUGGGAACCUGCCCUUAGGUUCGGAAUAACUCCCCGAAAGGGGUGCUAAUACCGGAUAAUGACUUCGGACCAAAGAUUUAUCGCCUUUGGAUGGGCCCGCGUUGGAUUAGCUAGUUGGUAGGGUAAAAGCCUACCAAGGCGACGAUCCAUAGCUGGUCUGAGAGGAUGAUCAGCCACACUGGGACUGAGACACGGCCCAGACUCCUACGGGAGGCAGCAGUGGGGAAUAUUGGACAAUGGGCGAAAGCCUGAUCCAGCAAUGCCGCGUGAGUGAUGAAGGCCUUAGGGUUGUAAAGCUCUUUUAUCCGGGAUGAUAAUGACAGUACCGGGAGAAUAAGCUCCGGCUAACUCCGU